UGCAUGCGGGGUGUGCUUGUCUAUUUCUACUGUUGUUGUUGUGAUGAAUCUGCCAACUAUUCCAUCCAGCUGAGUUGUUGAUUCGAUCCAUGGUAUAGGGUUGAUCGCCUUCUCUACGGCUUUGCCAAUCUCUUCCCAGUUCGUUUGGUCGAAAAGUCUUUGUGGCUGGCUUGGAUCUUUCUGUUUCAGUUGCAGAUCCCAUUCUGAGUAGAUUGCUAGGUGGUCAGAGCAAUAGUUGUCUCGGUAGGGAUGGCAUUUGAAUAACUGAUGCAGGAUGUUACUGAGUGUGAGGUUGAGUGUGGAGCAUGUGCCUGGGUGGCUCGCUGAUCAGUAGGUGGCAGUACCAGGUGGGAGACAGCUAUGGAGUUCUUGAGCCUGUAUGAAGUUCAGAAGGCUCCCGGUGUCUCAGGCUUGUCUUCGGUUCACCUGGAUUCCACCCCACAUCUGAUGAUAUCGUUUGAAAUCCCCUGCGAUGAUCAAUGUGGUUGCGGGCGAGAGCCGGAUUGUCCAGCUGAUUUCGUUUAAGGUCUGGUGUAUCGAGUUGUCUACCGUGUCGAACGGGGAAUGUAUGUGGAGAAAAUCAAGGAAAGGAGGCAAAGAAGGAUAGAACCUCAAACCUAAGAUAUCAUCAGUCAAGGAUAAGCCUUGCCUUCAUCGUUGUUUUGUCUACUUCCAUGAGUUCCCUGAUCUGUUGGCCAUUUUUAAACCUCCUGUUGGACAAGGGCUAUUUGCUGUGUUAAUUGUGGUUAAAUUGGGUUCUGGAUUUCUGCUCUUGUGUUUAGGGUCUCAUAGGGAAGGGACUGGAGGCGGGAAAUCCCCUGUGGUUUCUAUAGCAGAAGUUCCCCAGGAAGAUGGUAUUGUUGCUAUCAUUGAUGCAAACCUGGCGCGGCAGGAUUCUCUGGUGAAACAUAAAGACAGUGGAGGUUCCUGUAUUUUACUGGCGUACUGACAAGAAUAUGAAAUAUGAUCUAUGUCAAGAGGAGGCUCAGACUUUCAAAUGUAUUUUCAAGUCUUUGCAUUAUUAAAUAGUAUAUAAAAUAAUUCCCCAUGAUAUGGUAUAUCUAGAUA
Molecule: small RNA, 1068 nt
Filed under: Histoplasma capsulatum var. duboisii H88
Lineage: Eukaryota; Fungi; Ascomycota; Eurotiomycetes; Onygenales; Ajellomycetaceae
Description: Histoplasma capsulatum H88 hypothetical RNA
Source: RNAcentral